RNAcentral lists this long non-coding RNA (701 nucleotides) under Gallus gallus (chicken). Its description in RNAcentral is "lncRNA (ENSGALG00010014381.1)". The record is from RNAcentral. Lineage: Eukaryota; Metazoa; Chordata; Aves; Galliformes; Phasianidae.
AAAAUGUGAAGUGUCUUGCAGUCUCCAGCAGCAGCAUCUGGCACUACUGGAAGGAGGGCAGGGGAGGGCUGCUUCUACGGGAGGCUCUGCAGGACUCUACCUGGCACAUUUCUUACCAGAACCCAUUCAUCCACAAGUCCCUCCUCAUUACCGCUGCAGCCAAGGCCUACUGAGGAUCCCUGCUGCAGUGCAUGGCAAUGGUUGACUACGUGGACCAAAAGGGAACAAUGGGCAUUGGGAGGACCCCCAGCAUGGCUAUAGGAGUGGAAGAAGGAUGUUGUGCUGUCCUCAUGCCUGGCAGCACACCCAAAACGGAGAGGUGCCUGGGCAAAACCUGGCUUUGCCUGCUAACCUGCCUGCUCUACCCAGAGGCUUCUGGCUGCCUUUUGUACAGGGAAGUGGGAAGGCUGCCCUGGGCAGAAUUUGUGACAGCUAAGGAGACCCAGGAAAUCCUGCUUUCUCUGCUGAGAUAGCUCAAAACAGGAAAAGCGUUCUUCCAAGGACACAGGGGUGAGAAAUAAGCAAAUCAAAGCAAGAAAACCAAAAGAAACGUACAAAAAUAGCCCUACACACAUCCAAUACAUCAUUUUUUUCUUGUUCUUCAUUGGACCCUAUGAAGGACGGGUAUUUUGCAAGUCUGACCUGUCUCUGAGGCCCUUUACAAGUUGUUCUUCACUGACACCAUUUAAAUGAAAUGUUUG